Molecule: ribosomal RNA, 253 nt
Filed under: uncultured bacterium
Lineage: Bacteria
Description: partial 16S ribosomal RNA
Rfam family: Bacterial small subunit ribosomal RNA
Source: RNAcentral
UACGUAGGGUGCAAGCGUUAAUCGGAAUUACUGGGCGUAAAGCGUACGCAGGCGGCUUUGCAAGACAGGUGUGAAAUCCCCGGGCCUAACCUGGGAACUGCAUUUGUGACUGCAUGGCUAGAGUUUGUCAGAGGGGGGUGGAAUUCCACGUGUAGCAGUGAAAUGCGUAGAUAUGUGGAGGAACACCGAUGGCGAAGGCAGCCCCCUGGGAUGUGACUGACGCUCAUGUACGAAAGCCAGGGGAGCAAACGGG